Gopherus flavomarginatus (Mexican gopher tortoise) is the source of this 548-nucleotide long non-coding RNA. RefSeq lists it as uncharacterized. The transcript has 4 exons. The record is from RefSeq and is a predicted model, not a curated record. Lineage: Eukaryota; Metazoa; Chordata; Testudines; Testudinidae.
GAAAAUAAGCCUUCUGUAACUGUAUAAAACAGACUGGUUUGGUCGAAGUGUCACUCCCUGAAGCUGAAGUACCUGGACGAGAGAGAGACAGUGAGCAGGACUGUCAUCACCUAGCUUCAGAGAGCACCCUCUAUCUGUGACGCUCAGUUCCCGGCUGACCUUCAGCCAUGAAGAUCCUUUACUUGCUCUUUGCUGUUGUCUUCUUGGUGCUCAUGGAUGCCCCAGGUUUCUCCUAUGCUCUGUUGACCCGAAGAGGGUGUAGACGCAGAGGGGGUGAAUGUAACUUUUGGCGAUGUCCCAGCAAUGCUAUAUACAUUGACAAAUGCUAUUUUGGCCAUUGCUGUCGAAGGAGAGUGAUUGGCUGAUUGUCUAAGCAGGAUCUCAGGGAAUCGGGGAGACAGCCACUUGCUUCUAAAAUCAGCAGACCCUGCUUCAAUGGAACCCUGAACUCCUGCUGUUCAUUUGGGCUAUAAAGAACCUUGUGAGCUGGAGAAAUUUAAAAUGGAGCCCAUAUAAGAUUUGUUACUCUCCUUUGAAUAAAAGCAAGC